GGCUCAUUACAACAGCCAUAGUUUAUUAGAAUUACGUAUUCCUACUUGGAUAACUGUGGCAAUUCUAGAGCUAAUACAUGCAACUAAAGCUCCGACUUUUUAUAUUGGAAAGAGCGCAUUUAUUAGAAUAAAAACCAAUCGGUAUUUAAAGGCGCGGCGUUUUAAUCGACGUCGCGUUGCCGUUCUUUUGGUGAAUCUGAAUAACUUUGCCAAUCGCACGGUCUCCGCACCGGCGAUGUAUCUUUCAAAUGUCUGCCUUAUCAACUUUCGAUGGUAGGUUAUACGCCUACCAUGGUAGUAACGGGUAACGGAGAAUAAGGGUUCGACUCCGGAGAGGGAGCCUGAGAAAUGGCUACCACAUCCAAGGAAGGCAGCAGGCGCGCAAAUUACCCACUUCCAGCACGGAGAGGUAGUGACGAAAAAUAACGAGACAGUCCUCUUCGAGGUCUGUCAUCGGAAUGGGUACAAUUUAAAUAAUUUAACGAGUAUCUAUUGGAGGGCAAGUCUGGUGCCAGCAGCCGCGGUAAUUCCAGCUCCAAUAGCGUAUAUUAAAGUUGUUGAGGUUAAAACGCUCGUAGUUGGAUCUGCGGCCUUGGAGGGCGGUCCCCCGAAAGGGCGGUCACUGCUGGAGCUGUGCGCGUGUACGUUUUUAUAGCGUGCAUGUGUACAGUUUCUUUUACUCCUGGCCUAUAAUCGAGUUCUACUCUAGGUGCUCUUAAUUGAGUGCCUAGUUGGUGGCUCGAACGUUUACUUUGAAAAAAUUAGAGUGCUUAAAGCAGGCUUUUUACGCUUGAAUAAUGGUGCAUGGAAUAAUGGAAUAGGACCUCGGUUCUAUUUUGUUGGUUUUCGGAGCCCGAGGUAAUGAUUAAGAGGAACAGACGGGGGCAUUCGUAUUCCGGCGCUAGAGGUGAAAUUCUUGGACCGCCGGAAGACGGACAACUGCGAAAGCAUUUGCCAAGAAUGUUUUCAUUAAUCAAGAACGAAAGUUAGAGGUUCGAAGGCGAUCAGAUACCGCCCUAGUUCUAACCGUAAACGAUGCCAACUAGCGAUUAAUCGGCGUUAAUUAAUGACCCGAUUAGCAGCUUCCGGGAAACCAAAGUUUUUAGGUUCCUGGGGAAGUAUGGUUGCAAAGCUGAAACUUAAAGGAAUUGACGGAAGGGCACCACCAGGAGUGGAGCCUGCGGCUUAAUUUGACUCAACACGGGAAAACUCACCCGGCCCGGACACUGUAAGGAUUGACAGACUGAAAGCUCUUUCUUAAUUCGGUGGGUGGUGGUGCAUGGCCGUUCUUAGUUGGUGGAGCGAUUUGUCUGGUUAAUUCCGAUAACGAACGAGACUCUGGCCUAUUAAAUAGUCCAAGUAUACUCAUUAGUGCUUGACGACUUCUUAGAGGGACAAGCGGCGUCUAGCCGUAUGAAAUAGAGCAAUAACAGGUCUGUGAUGCCCUUAGAUGUCCGGGGCUGCACGCGCGCUACACUGAAAGAAUCAGCGUGUUUUAGCCUAGUCCGGAAGGACUGGGUAACCCGAGUAAAUUCUUUCGUGCUUGGGAUAGGGAAUUGCAA
This 1562-nucleotide ribosomal RNA is filed under the name Oostenbrinkia pedrami. Its description in RNAcentral is "SSU rRNA". It matches the Rfam family "Eukaryotic small subunit ribosomal RNA", at positions 95 to 1589 of the family's 1831-position model. The record is from RNAcentral. Lineage: Eukaryota; Metazoa; Nematoda; Enoplea; Dorylaimida; Aulolaimoididae.